This 440-nucleotide ribosomal RNA is filed under the name uncultured bacterium. Its description in RNAcentral is "partial 16S ribosomal RNA". It matches the Rfam family "Bacterial small subunit ribosomal RNA", at positions 338 to 795 of the family's 1533-position model. The record is from RNAcentral.
CCUACGGGAGGCAGCAGUGGGGAAUAUUGCUCAAUGGACGCGACUCUGAUCCAGCGAAGCCGCGUGAGUGAUGACGUCCCUAGUUAUGGUAAGCCCUUUCAGCAGGGAAGAAAGUGACGGUACCUGAAAAAGAAGCUCCGGCUAAAUACGUGCCAGCAGCCGCGGUCAAACGUAUGGAGCCAGCGUUAUCCCGAUUUACUUGGGGUAAAGGGAGAGUAGGUGGCAGAGCAAGUCCGAAGUGAAAACCCAAAGCUCAACUAUGGGAAUGCCUUUGAAACUGCUCAGCUAGAGUGCAGGAGAGGCAAGUGGAAUGCUUAGUGUAGCGGUGAAAUGCGUAGAUAUUAGGAAGAACUCCAGUGGCGAAGGCAGCGUACUGGACUGUAACUGACACUGAGGCUCGAAAGCGUGGGGAGCAAACAGGAUUAGAUACCCGUGUAGUC